AUCGGGGGGGACGGGAGCGCAGAGCAGAGGGCAGCGCUUCAGGUGGGGAGCAGCAAGCAGAGCAGGCGGGAGCGCUCAGCAGAUCAGGCCGGGAGGACUGCAGAUCAUCUCUCCAAUUUGAGAUCAUUUUGAAUUUUAAUUCCAUCCUCCAAAGUAUUUGCAACCUGUCUCCAUGCCCUCUCCCCCAUCUUGUCAUCUGCAAAUUCCAUCAUUUGAAUAAUUAAUGAAAAUAUUGACUAGAGCUAGGCCUGGAACAGAUCCCUGAAGAUGACAGUGAGACAUCAAUAAUGGCUCAGCGAUUUUGCAGCCAGUUUUGCACCCAAGUAAUACGGCAAGGGAGAGAGGGUAUGAGAGAGAGAAAAAAACUGAUGAAGAAAACAAACCCUACUAAAGUAAUUACAUUAAAUGACACUGGCUGAAUAUGACUGACUUGGGUGGUUUCCUUUCUUGCUGCCUUCAGUCCACACCCAACUGUCCCUACUGAAAGACAGGUAGAAAACAGGAACAAGACAGACCAUGCAAUCUGGGGCCAAACUACAAGUAAAACUCAGGUCUCUCUACUCUCAACUCGGUGCCUGUUCACAGGGAUCGUCCACCUUCCACUUGCAAUUGACACAAUUCACAAGGGAUUAAGAGGGGAACCAUGGUCACAAGGUGGAAUGUGAAGUCUCACAUACCCCUUGGAAUUCAACCCCUGUAUUGGUUGCUUUUAAGCAAGAACAUUUUCAAAAUAUAUCGCUUGCUAACACGAUUGGAACUGCAGCACAGAGAGAAUCUAGAGGAGGUUUGGUUUUGGUUUUUUUUUUUGUUUUUUUUUUAUAGCUCAUGGGAUUCUAAGAUGAGGAGAAAUGCCUUGCAGACACCGACACUAAAAAUAGCUAUGUGAAACCUGUUUCCCUGAAUAUUAUUCAAUUCCAUUUUCAUACCUGCUUUAGCAGGUACCAGCAGAGGAGCUGGAAUAAAGAAACACCCUAGAUCACCUCUGGAGAAGUUUGCAGAGGGACAAAGUACAAGAAAGCCUGCACUGAGAAACUUGUUCUCCCUUCUAAAGGGUCCGGCUUGGGCUACAUGUCCUGCAUACAAUGAAAACUCAGGAUGUGCUGUGAAAGAGACUGGACAAAUAGAAGGGAAAGAAUGAAAAGAGCCGAGCUGCUACCAAAAGAUGGAGGAGAGGAAGCAGCAGAGAACUUGGUAUGUCUCAGCACAGAGACCUCAACUUGUUGGAACCAAAACCUUUCUGCAGCCGUGCACCUUUGGAGGAGAGCGGGGCUGGGGAAAGCGCCUCGGUGCCCGGAGGAGCAAAGCUGGUCAGGGUCCCCCCCAGACCUGUCUGGGACGUGGGCUUAAAGCUCCGCUUUGAUCCCUCCCGCAGCAGGCCAGAGACGUGAGGGCCCAGGGCAGGGCGGGCUGCCUCCCUCGCUCUGCACGAGCCCCAGGGACGGCGGCGAGCGCAGCCCGCUCCUGCGGGAGGGGAAACGUCCGCAGCCCGCUCCAGAAGAGCCUUUAGGGCCAGCCUCCGGGGACAGGGACGGGCAGCAACCCCUGUGCCCCCAACCCCCCGGAGCCUCUGGUCCGGCCGCAGCCCCUGCCCCUGCCCAGCGGGGCGCUCACCUGCUCG
Long non-coding RNA from Alligator mississippiensis (American alligator), 1618 nucleotides. RefSeq lists it as uncharacterized. The record is from RefSeq and is a predicted model, not a curated record. NCBI's taxonomy places the organism in Eukaryota, Metazoa, Chordata, Crocodylia, Alligatoridae. The transcript is spliced from 3 exons.